GACGAACGCUGGCGGCGUGCUUAACACAUGCAAGUCGAACGAAGUGGCGAACGGGUGAGUAACGCGUAAUCACCCUGCCCUUCAGAGGGGGACAACAGUUUGAAACGACUGCUAAUACCGCAUACUGAAGGAGGGGCUUGCGUCUGUUUAGCUAGUUGGAGGGGUAACGGCCCACCAAGGCGAUGAUCAGUAGGCGGGCUGGUAGGGUGAACGGCCACAUUGGGACUGGGACACGGCCCAAACUCCUACGGGAGGCAGCAGUGGGGAAUCUUCCGCAAGGGACGAAAGUCUGACGGAGCAACGCCGCGUGAGGGAUGACGGCCUUCGGGUUGUAAAGCUCUGUUAAUCGGGACGCGGUACCGGAAUAGAAAGCCACGGCUAACUACGUGCCAGCAGCCGCGGUAAUUC
This 408-nucleotide ribosomal RNA is filed under the name uncultured bacterium. RNAcentral's name for it is "partial 16S ribosomal RNA". It matches the Rfam family "Bacterial small subunit ribosomal RNA", at positions 28 to 526 of the family's 1533-position model. The record is from RNAcentral.